This 400-nucleotide ribosomal RNA is filed under the name uncultured bacterium. RNAcentral's name for it is "bacterial SSU rRNA". It matches the Rfam family "Bacterial small subunit ribosomal RNA", at positions 355 to 772 of the family's 1533-position model. The record is from RNAcentral.
UGGGGAAUAUUGCACAAUGGGGGAAACCCUGAUGCAGCGACGCCGCGUGAGCGAAGAAGUAUUUCGGUAUGUAAAGCUCUAUCAGCAGGGAAGAAAAUGACGGUACCUGAGUAAGAAGCUCCGGCUAAAUACGUGCCAGCAGCCGCGGUAAUACGUAUGGAGCAAGCGUUAUCCGGAUUUACUGGGUGUAAAGGGAGCGCAGGCGGCCAGGCAAGUCUGAUGUGAAAUACCGGGGCUCAACCCCGGAACUGCAUUGGAAACUGUCAGGCUGGAGUGUCGGAGAGGCAGGCGGAAUUCCUGGUGUAGCGGUGAAAUGCGUAGAUAUCAGGAGGAACACCAGUGGCGAAGGCGGCCUGCUGGACGAUGACUGACGCUGAGGCUCGAAAGCGUGGGGAGCAAA